Molecule: ribosomal RNA, 254 nt
Filed under: uncultured bacterium
Lineage: Bacteria
Description: partial 16S ribosomal RNA
Rfam family: Bacterial small subunit ribosomal RNA
Source: RNAcentral
UACGUAGGGGGCAAGCGUUGUCCGGAAUUAUUGGGCGUAAAGAGCUCGUAGGCGGCUCAGUAAGUCGGAUGUGAAAACUCGGGGCUCAACCCCGAGACGCCAUCCGAUACUGCUGUGGCUUGAGUCUGGUAGGGGAACACGGAAUUCCUGGUGUAGCGGUGAAAUGCGCAGAUAUCAGGAGGAACACCGAUGGCGAAGGCAGUGUUCUGGGCCAGUACUGACGCUGAGGAGCGAAAGCGUGGGUAGCAAACAGG